Molecule: non-coding RNA, 3142 nt
Organism: Pelobates cultripes (western spadefoot toad)
Lineage: Eukaryota; Metazoa; Chordata; Amphibia; Anura; Pelobatidae
Source: the annotation of a GenBank genome assembly
GAGGAAAAUGCAUUAUAGAUUCCAACUCAAUAAACAGAUUAGGCUCUAGCUAUUAAAUUGAUCAAAUUGCUCCUCUUACUUUAUAUAGCUACAAUUAGAACCAGCAUUCUACUGUACAUCAGUUACCUUCAUUUCAUAUGACAAACGCAGGUUUCUAUAACAUGCAGACAGCAAUCUCUUUGUACAUUCCUUCUCUCCAAGCCUCUAGAUCCCUGUGGUGUGAUACAAUCUAUUUAAAAGCCAAUUAAGACUAUUCAUGUAUGCCUGUUAUAUACCUCACACAUAUGCACUUGGAAGAAAUAACUUUACUUUAAAUAUGAUGAAAUUCUCUGAGGAUAUAAGUGAAAAUUCAUUAGUGUAGGGAAUAUCUCAGAACCAUAGUGGAGAAUAGUUGGAUGAAAUGCCUAUAGCCUUACACUAGGCCUUACAACUUGCCCAGCAUUAGUUAAUCUCUAGUGCUCCCCAAAUAGUUUGCAGGGUGAUUGCCCUAUAUCUUUGACUCUCUGGUUCACAACUAGGCUUUACAUUUAUAGAUAAACUAUAUGGCAUAGAUGAUGCAGUAAUGUUCCUUUUGCUACCCAUCACCUAUUUUCAACAUUCUGCCGCAAUUCUAAGGAAUGCGGCAAUAUUCUCUGUCUGGGUAUCUGAAUAAAUUACACACCUUCCUUUUAUCUCAUAAUAUAUGCACAUUGAAAAUGAGCUCCAAAAACUAUGUGUGCGUAAUGGGCUGCAAUCAAUACCUAUAAUGCAACCUAUAAGUCUGCAUGUUUUUUUAUAAUUGAAAAAUGGCAGAAUGCCCAUGCUGUGAGCCCUAACAACUCACAAAAAAAAUUAAUCAAACAAACAAGCAAAUUGUACGGAACAAUAGGUGGUCCAGAACAAAAAUGAAAAGGCAGUCUUUAAAAGAGUCUUAAUUUCAUUCACUUUGGUCUGUACACGACAGACAUUGUACUGAUUGUCUAAGUCACCAUAUCUUCAGUUGCAUCUACACUGGAUGUGCUUCAGAUUUAUAAUAGGGAUUAUUUUGACUUUUCAGAUAGUUAACUUGGUUGAAGAGAUUGGCUGACCAAAAAUAAAGGAUGACCGUUUCUAAAAAAGAAUAAACAUAUCAAAGAAGGAUGCAAUGAUAACUGAUUUCCUCUUUGUAGAUAUAUGUCAAAUGUGCAAUAAAAAUCAUAUUGCUUGAUGUGACUGACACCGGCAAUGUAACGGUCCCUAAUCUCAGGUAAAUACCAAAACCUACAUAUCUCGGCCUGCCCCAGAUUGCUUCCACCAUUAAUUCAAGCCCUCUCCUGUGAUAUAAAUGGAUGAAUGAAGGUGUGAGAGACAAUCAUAUUAUCUGUCCAUCCUCCUUUCUACAUGUCAUAACUGCAAAUAGACUGAAUUAAAGGAAUACUAAGGCAUUAGGAAUACAAACAUGUAUCCCUAAAGUUAUAGUGUUCCUCUACCUAUAUAGGUCCACCUUCCCCCCCAUUAGAAUUCUACUUACCUUUCUUCCCUUGAUGGACUGGUUUUGGCAAGGCUGCUUCACCUUCCUGAUUGAGAGCAUCAAUAUUGAUGAUCUCAGCCAAUCCAGUGCUUCCCCAUAGGCAAGCGUUUGGAGGCUUGUGCACAUGCACAGGAAAUUUCCAUGCUGCAACAUUUAAAUGUUUCUAUACGAGUAGCAUUUGAUUGAAGAAGUGAGUCUGACUUGGUUCUCACAGGGAAGCCCCUCUAGAGGCAGUCAGGAAGAUAAUCACUAUUAGUGUGUUUCAUCCUGCAAUUAAAGUUUCUACAAUUGCAGGGUUAAACCUAAAGGGCCACAUCGAUAAAGUGGUCUGGGUAUCUUUGGUGACUCUUUAAGGACAGCAACUGCAAAUAAUAGAUUUUGCCCAAGAGCAUAAUUCUCACCAAUUUUGAACAGGCUCAGUUAUGUAUGUUAUAGGGACAGUCCAGACCCAUAAAGUACUUUAUUUAAAAAAUACAUACAUAUCAGUCAUAUUAAAUAUUAAUCAUAUUUCCAACACACCACAUAGGAGUUCGAAGGUGUUAUCCAUGAAGACAUUGAUGAAUCUUACCAUAAAUAAAUAUCUCAUCCAAUAAUGCACUUUAUAGUCUAGACAAACCAGUUGUAAAAUUGAUUAACUCUUCCAAAAUAAGCUAAGGUAUGUUGAUCAUUCUUUGGGACUGUGUGUUGUAAUAACUUGUAAGGCAUUACAUUUAAUAAUUGAAAUGCAAUUGUACUAGCUUUUUAAAACAUGCAAAGCAGUCAAUCAUAUUUUGGACCCCAUUGAUAAUCUAUAUAUUGGAUUCAUUAUUUAGAAAUGCCAUUUUCUUUAUUUGAAAAUCUAGUCACUUCUUUGUCAAAUGGUAAAUCUGCUGUUGUACAUUGCUAUGAAGAAUCAUUUCAUAUUAUUAACCUCCCAGUAUGAUUGAUUUACUAAUUGUUUGUGCAGUUUAGUAAUAUUUUCUAUUAUUUUUAAUUUCAUCUGGCUGUAUUUCUUUUUUCUUGCUAAACAUAAAACAGAACUGCGCAUAUAGAAAUCUGUUACAAUCAAAUAACGCAGCAGUUAUAGUCCAGAGUACUUAUCUGUUAAUCUGUUGUAUCUAUUUAGAGCAAAGUUUAUAAUCAAAUAAACAUAAUUAACAAAUAGAAUAUGUAUUAAAAAUCACAGAGUGUAAAUUAAAAAUACAUUUUCAAAUCUCAUAAAAAUAACUAUUACUUUAAUAGUAUUAAAAGAUGGCUUUGGUUAAGGGAGCAGCCAUUUUAGAUCGGGUGGUUCCAUCUUUGAUUUUAUUGUUUACUAAAUGAUAUUUGUUAAAAAUUCAAUGAAGAUGGCAAUAAAUUGCAACAUUUUACUGUACUACAACACGAGAAAAAGAAAUAUUACAUUUAAAAAGGAAUUCCUUCUCUACAGUUUUAAUAUGGAUUUACAACUUAAAGAUGGCGAAUGAGGAUAUUUAAUGAAUCAAUCAAGGCACUGGAACAAUGGAGUAAAAUUACAGAACAUCUUGUGAUACAGACUCAAAUGAAAGCAAAGGAAUUUUACUCCCGAGGACAGACUUACAUGCUACUGUGUAUCAUGCUAACUUUGUUAUUUAAAUGUUUCUUUCAUUUUUUUUGUAAAAAAAAACAAAACAUGUAAAACCUGUUUAUGAUGCU